GUACCUGCAUGACAUGACUUCGCAUGAACUUUUAGAAAUGGCAGCCGAUUGUGCUUGGUUAUCCAGAAGGGCCAAGAUUCAAGAUUCGUGUCUUUGGAGAAGUGCCAUAUUGACAAUUAACCUUGCUGAACAAGGAAUCCACUUACUUCUACAUCUGGAUAAUCUUCUGUUAAAGGUUCCAUUAAAUGAAUGUUACUCUAAAACAUAGAUUGGGCAAUUAGCCAAUCUUAAUGGAGGUACUCAAAGAAAAUCAUGUUGAAAUGUCAAUAUUUUAAAAUGCAGGUUUUUUUGCGAGUUCCCUGCAUACAAAUAUAUCUUCACGAACAAACGCUAUUCAAGUAUCCCUUUCAAGUGUAAUUCUUUUUCAUAGACUCUAUAGCUACCAAAACAAUUCCUUUGAGUUUUCUUUUGAAGAUGUUCCAUGGGAGAGAAAGAAAAUGAAGGAUCUAGAUAGAGGACAGAUUUAAAAAGCAUGUGAUUCAGUAGAUUAAUAGUUGUCUGAUCUAUUUUAUUUGUUCGAUGUGAAAGUCGCCUUCCUAUACUAUAUUUCUCAUCACGGACAGUGGAAAAUACUAAUUUUCAAAUACUAUAUGAAACCAUUCUUUUGCCUGAAUGUACGUUACGUAUAGCACUGUGUAUUUUUCAUGAAUUGAUCCAAUACAUGAAUAGGUAUUCUCUAGUGUGGGUAACAUUGUGAUAUGGUACCCCUCUGAAGGUGAUGUAUAAAACCGGUUAGUGGUUAGUGGGUCGACGAUAAUAGCCCUUGCAUUCCGGCUCUGGCUAUAUUAUUGGCGACCAGACCCUUUAUCUUCUAAUUGCUCAGUAACAACGUUAUUGUCUUGUUAAAAGGUUGGUUCAUACUCUGUGAAGUUACGGCAAUUCACUUUGUGAAGUUACGGCAAUCAUUAACGCCAGCGCUAAAAAUUCUGGGGAAAAAAGAGUGAACCACAUUUAACUCUGGGCAAUUUUGUGUCAAAUGGUUUCGAUGUCAACAUUUCAAAAUUUGCUUUCACUUGAAGUAUGAACCGAUCGUUAGAGCUCAGCCCAGUCACUAAGGCGUGAAUUCCUUAAUGUGGAUUCAAGUAAAAGACUUUAAUUGUAUACCAUUCACGAAAUGGACGCUGUAGUAAUAUGUGCAUAUUGAUGUGUCCAAAUAAUUGCCGUGAAUAUUAAUUACACUUACCGUUUUAGUGAUUGCAUUUUAGUAAUGUUUUUACAUGCUGUUGUUUCUGAACACUCUUUGUAAUAAAAUUAGAGAAACAUGAA
This 1266-nucleotide long non-coding RNA is filed under the name Patiria miniata (bat star). RNAcentral describes it as "uncharacterized LOC119742754". Lineage: Eukaryota; Metazoa; Echinodermata; Asteroidea; Valvatida; Asterinidae. The record is from RNAcentral.